CAGCAUGGAUGGAGUUAGGGUGAACUAGGGUUUCCGAAAAUUUUUUAGGUUUUAAACUUUUAAGUUUUUUUUUUUUUUUUGUAUUUGGGCCAAUCUAUUUUUAUAAAUGGACUUAAUAAUGGACUCAUUAUUAUUUUUUUAUUUUACUUUUUUUUUUGAGGGGGGACGGGACGAAUGACAGAUAUGAACUUCAAUUUCAAGUUUAUGCAUAACUCUUGGAUUUUUGGCAACUUUGACUCUUGAUUAACAAAUAUUUCUCCAACUAAAAUGCUUCCAGCUUCCACCCAAAUUUGCCUCUUCAUAAAUUGGCUCCGUUAGUCUUUCAACUACCAAAAUAUGCUUAGCUCCAUUUCCUUCAAUUUAGAUUAUAGUGAGCGGUGCUCUUAAAUAACUCGGGUUCCAUGUUAAUGGGCUUGAACUUCAGUCCAUCUUUAUUAGGCUUCUUAACUCGAAUCAAUUAUGAUGUGACACAUGACCAAUAUAU
This 484-nucleotide long non-coding RNA is filed under the name Gossypium raimondii (Peruvian cotton). Its description in RNAcentral is "long non-coding RNA (GRAI_LNC003554)". Lineage: Eukaryota; Viridiplantae; Streptophyta; Magnoliopsida; Malvales; Malvaceae. The record is from RNAcentral.